This 472-nucleotide ribosomal RNA is filed under the name Escherichia coli. RNAcentral's name for it is "bacterial SSU rRNA". It matches the Rfam family "Bacterial small subunit ribosomal RNA", at positions 1054 to 1526 of the family's 1533-position model. Lineage: Bacteria; Pseudomonadati; Pseudomonadota; Gammaproteobacteria; Enterobacterales; Enterobacteriaceae. The record is from RNAcentral. RNAcentral also lists the same sequence under 1 other name.
GUCAGCUCGUGUUGUGAAAUGUUGGGUUAAGUCCCGCAACGAGCGCAACCCUUAUCCUUUGUUGCCAGCGGUCCGGCCGGGAACUCAAAGGAGACUGCCAGUGAUAAACUGGAGGAAGGUGGGGAUGACGUCAAGUCAUCAUGGCCCUUACGACCAGGGCUACACACGUGCUACAAUGGCGCAUACAAAGAGAAGCGACCUCGCGAGAGCAAGCGGACCUCAUAAAGUGCGUCGUAGUCCGGAUUGGAGUCUGCAACUCGACUCCAUGAAGUCGGAAUCGCUAGUAAUCGUGGAUCAGAAUGCCACGGUGAAUACGUUCCCGGGCCUUGUACACACCGCCCGUCACACCAUGGGAGUGGGUUGCAAAAGAAGUAGGUAGCUUAACCUUCGGGAGGGCGCUUACCACUUUGUGAUUCAUGACUGGGGUGAAGUCGUAACAAGGUAACCGUAGGGGAACCUGCGGUUGGAUCAC